RNAcentral lists this non-coding RNA (27 nucleotides) under Rattus norvegicus (Norway rat). The record is from RNAcentral. Lineage: Eukaryota; Metazoa; Chordata; Mammalia; Rodentia; Muridae.
UGUUCAUCUGACGUGAGGCAUAAGUUC